This 23-nucleotide non-coding RNA is filed under the name Mus musculus (house mouse). The record is from RNAcentral. Lineage: Eukaryota; Metazoa; Chordata; Mammalia; Rodentia; Muridae.
UACAAGUCGGGUGGUGGAGUGGA